This 380-nucleotide ribosomal RNA is filed under the name uncultured eukaryote. RNAcentral's name for it is "partial 18S ribosomal RNA". It matches the Rfam family "Eukaryotic small subunit ribosomal RNA", at positions 592 to 976 of the family's 1831-position model. The record is from RNAcentral.
CAAUAGCGUAUAUUAAAGUUGUUGCGGUUAAAAAGCUCGUAGUUGGAUUUCUGCUGAGAACGACCGGUCCGCCCUCUGGGUGUGUAUCUGGCUCUUUCUUGGCAUCUUCUUGGUGAACGUUGCUGCACUUGACUGUGUGGAGCGCUACCCAGGACUUUUACUUUGAGGAAAUUAGAGUGUUUCAAGCAGGCAUACGCCUUGAAUACAUUAGCAUGGAAUAAUAAGAUAGGACCUCGGUUCUAUUUUGUUGGUUUCUAGAGCUGAGGUAAUGAUUAAUAGGGAUAGUUGGGGGCAUUCGUAUUUAACUGUCAGAGGUGAAAUUCUUGGAUUUGUUAAAGACUAACUUAUGCGAAAGCAUUUGCCAAGGAUGUUUUCAUUAA